UUUCUUCUAGCUUAAAUAAGAAAGCGUUAGUUUGAAGAGCUAAAUAUACAAUAUUGUGGAGAAAG
This 65-nucleotide transfer RNA is filed under the name Neomazocraes dorosomatis. Its description in RNAcentral is "tRNA-Phe". The record is from RNAcentral. Lineage: Eukaryota; Metazoa; Platyhelminthes; Monogenea; Mazocraeidea; Mazocraeidae.